GAUGAACGCCGGCGGCGUGCUUAACACAUGCAAGUCGAACGGAAAGGCCCCAGCUUGCUGGGGUACUCGAGUGGCGAACGGGUGAGUAACACGUGGGUGAUCUGCCCUGCACUUUGGGAUAAGCUUGGGAAACUGGGUCUAAUACCGAAUAUGACCACUUCUUGGAUGUUGUGGUGGAAAGCUUUUGCGGUGUGGGAUGAGCCUGCGGCCUAUCAGCUUGUUGGUGGGGUAAUGGCCUACCAAGGCGGCGACGGGUAUCCGGCCUGAGAGGGUGUACGGACGCAUUGGGACUGAGAUACGUCCCAGACUCCUACGUGAGGCAGCAGUGGGGAAUAUUGCACAAUGGGCGCAAGCCUGAUGCAGCGACGCCGCGUGGGGGAUGAAGGCCUUCGGGUUGUAAACUCCUUUCGCUAUCGACGAAGCCACUUGUGGUGACGGUAGGUAGAUAAGAAGCACCGGCUAACUACGUGCCAGCCGCCGCGGUAA
Molecule: ribosomal RNA, 486 nt
Filed under: uncultured bacterium
Lineage: Bacteria
Description: partial 16S ribosomal RNA
Rfam family: Bacterial small subunit ribosomal RNA
Source: RNAcentral